GGAGGGUGCAAGCGUUGUCCGGAAUCAUUGGGCGUAAAGAGUUCGUAGGUGGCAUAUUAAGUCUGGUGUUAAAGGCAGAAGCUCAACUUCUGUUCGGCACUGGAUACUGGUAAGCUUGAAUGCGGUAGAGGUAAAGGGAAUUCCUGGUGUAGCGGUGAAAUGCGUAGAUAUCAGGAGGAACAUCGGUGGCGUAAGCGCUUUACUGGGCCGUAAUUGACACUGAGGAACGAAAGCCGGGGUAGCAAA
RNAcentral lists this ribosomal RNA (246 nucleotides) under uncultured bacterium. RNAcentral describes it as "partial 16S ribosomal RNA". It matches the Rfam family "Bacterial small subunit ribosomal RNA", at positions 527 to 772 of the family's 1533-position model. The record is from RNAcentral.